Molecule: ribosomal RNA, 468 nt
Filed under: uncultured bacterium
Lineage: Bacteria
Description: partial 16S ribosomal RNA
Rfam family: Bacterial small subunit ribosomal RNA
Source: RNAcentral
GACGAACGCUGGCGGCGUGCUUAACACAUGCAAGUCGAACGGAAAGGCCCUGCUUUUGUGGGGUGCUCGAGUGGCGAACGGGUGAGUAACACGUGAGUAACCUGCCCUUGACUUUGGGAUAACUUCAGGAAACUUGGUCUAAUACCGGAUAGGAGCUCCUGCUGCAUGGUGGGGGUUGGAAAGUUUCGGCGGUUGGGGAUGGACUCGCGGCUUAUCAGCUUGUUGGUGGGGUAGUGGCUUACCAAGGCUUUGACGGGUAGCCGGCCUGAGAGGGUGACCGGCCACAUUGGGACUGAGAUACGGCCCAGACUCCUACGGGAGGCAGCAGUGGGGAAUAUUGCACAAUGGGCGGAAGCCUAAUGCAGCAACGCCGCGUGCGGGAUGACGGCCUUCGGGUUGUAAACCGCUUUCGCCUGUGACGAAGCGUGAGUGACGGUAAUGGGUAAAGAAGCACCGGCUAACUACGUG